This 406-nucleotide ribosomal RNA is filed under the name uncultured bacterium. Its description in RNAcentral is "bacterial SSU rRNA". It matches the Rfam family "Bacterial small subunit ribosomal RNA", at positions 354 to 777 of the family's 1533-position model. The record is from RNAcentral.
GUGGGGAAUAUUGCACAAUGGGGGAAACCCUGAUGCAGCGACGCCGCGUGGGCGAGGAAGUACCUCGGUAUGUAAAGCCCUAUCAGCAGGGAAGAAAACGACAGUACCUGACUAAGAAGCCCCGGCUAACUACGUGCCAGCAGCCGCGGUAAUACGUAGGGGGCAAGCGUUAUCCGGAUUCACUGGGCGUAAAGGGAGCGCAGGCGGCAUGGCAAGUCUGAUGUGAAAACCCGGGGCCCAACCCCGGGAGUGCAUUGGAAACUGCCAGGCUGGAGUGUCGGAGGGGUAAGCGGAAUUCCUAGUGUAGCGGUGAAAUGCGUAGAUAUUAGGAGGAACACCAGUGGCGAAGGCGGCUUACUGGACGACUACUGACGCUGAGGCUCGAAAGCGUGGGGAGCAAACAGGA